UCGCUACUACCGAUUGGAUGGCUUAGUGAGAUUUAGGGAUUCUGGCUCCGAGUUGGCUUGUCCUCCUUGGAAUUGGAAAAACUAAAUCAAACUUGAUCAUUUAGAGGAAGUAA
Molecule: ribosomal RNA, 113 nt
Filed under: uncultured eukaryote
Lineage: Eukaryota
Description: partial small subunit ribosomal RNA
Rfam family: Eukaryotic small subunit ribosomal RNA
Source: RNAcentral